Molecule: ribosomal RNA, 497 nt
Filed under: uncultured bacterium
Lineage: Bacteria
Description: partial 16S ribosomal RNA
Rfam family: Bacterial small subunit ribosomal RNA
Source: RNAcentral
GAUGAACGCUGGCGGCGUGCCUAAUACAUGCAAGUCGAGCGAACAGACGCGGCUCUUGCUCCUCUGACGUUAGCGGCGGACGGGUGAGUAACACGUGGAUAACCUACCUAUAAGACUUGGAUAACUUCGGGAAACCGGAGCUAAUACCGGAUAAUAUAUUUAGCCGCAUGGUUCAAUAGUGAAAUACGGUUUUGCUGUCACUUAUAGAUAGAUCCGCGCCGCAUUAGCUAGUUGGUAAGGUAACGGCUUACCAAGGCAACAAUGCGUAGCCGACCUGCGAGGGGGUAGGGGGCCUCAGGGACUGAGCGACGGUCCAGACUCCGACGGGAGGCAGCAGUAGGGAAGCGUCCGAGAUGGGCGGAAGCCUGCAGGAGCAACGCCGGGUGGGUGAAGCAGGUCUUCGGAGCGGAAAACUCUGUUAUUAGGGAAGAACACAUGUGUAAGUAACUAUGCACGUCUUGACGGUACCUAAAUAGAAAGCCACGGCUAACUACGUG